CUCAUCUCGUUUUAUCUCCACACACUUCGAGUGAUUCAUGAGGUAUAGACUCGGUAAGGUUGUGCUUAGUUCCACAUAAAACCUCAUCAUAUUCAUGCCGAGGUGAGGGGGAGUGUUCUCUCCUUGCCGACCACACCUUUGCCGAGUCCCUCUUCAUCCCAUUCCCUGCAGCCUUACUGAAAAUGAUUCAACAAGAACAAAGGAAACAGAUCAUUAUAACUUUCCCAAUAAACAAAGGCGUUAAUGACCCGAAUAAUCAAUGAAAUGCGACCCAUUUAAGCCAGCCCGCACCCUUUGGAGCCGAAAUAUAGACGUUAAAUUCGAUCAUCGAUGUAAUGUCAAACUAUGGAAACUACGAUUUAUGAUUUCUGUUUAGGGUUUUGAUGUUUCAGCUAACAGCAACACCAAUGGAGGGAUUGAAGGUACCCAAUGCGGAAUUGGUGGCGUAUAUACGUCCUCUGAAGUCUAAAAGUGUCUCUCAAGCCAUCUUUGGUGAACUAAGUUCACUGCUUUUAAAGUAAUUCUUCUUCCUUUUAUGUAUAAUAUUACCGAACUUGAAUACUAUGUUUCUCAAUGAAAGAUGAAGCUAUCUCUUACGAAAAGGAAUUCAGAUUCCAUUGCAAGAGAAGUUUUAUAGUUAGGUUUACUAGUUGUUGUUGAUUAACAUCAGAUGGUUGAUAUAUUCGAUAAUUGAUCAGAUAAUCCUUGGUCCUGGGUAGAAACCAUUAUAGGAAAGAAUCCACUUAUAUUAUAUAUAUUCUUGUAACUACCCUGAGAUAAAAAUAAAUAAAUAAAAUCUAUUAAUCUAUUUACAACCUUUCGAGCUCUUAGUAUUUGUAACCAUGGUGAUUUGUUUUUAGAAUCGGUAUUCGGGUAUUGUACUUGCAAACCCCUCAAAGAAACAAUACAUUUAAAAAACGUGGACAUUUUUGUAGAAAAUUUUCAUAUAUUUGUUUAUGUCGAUGUGGAAAAUGAUGAUGGACUUGUAUAACUUAUUCUAUUUGGCACUUGGUUUCAAUGUAACCAACACACAUGGUUACGAUUCGUUUAAAAAAUAAUUUUCAAAUUAAGUUAUUACACCUUUGUUUUUAAAUAAUACUAAGUUUUCUUAAGUGGGUAAGUGACUACACUGUUAUUUGUAUUUUAGUAUUUUAAGGAUUUUAUUAAACAGGGCAAAAUUUAUAGCUCCUGUCAGUUAUAUGAUUUUUUAAAGCAAACUCACUACCAUAAUACAUUGUGUCUCCUGAUCGAUGGCUAUACCCCGCUCUUUCAUUAAAAAAAAUUUUUAAAAAAAAAAAAAAAAAAAAAAAAAAAAGGUAGGUUUUGUUGUAAUGUGGGUGGUUGCUAUAUUUUAUUUGCAACACUUGAAUAGAUAUAUUUUAUUUUCUAUCCACUAUGGACUAUUAGAAAUAUUGGUUUUGUGAAAUGAAAAUUAAAGUAAAAACUUAAAUACACUUGUGGGUUAACUGUUUCGGAAACUUGAAGAUUAGCUCUCAACUUCCUCUGAAUUUUCAUCAGAAUUUUCACUUACUUCUUCCUCCUCCUCUUCAUGAUCAGGAUAAACAUUCAUGGGAUUGUCCUUAGUUAAACUCCCAAAAGAAAAUAAGAAAAGCAUAAGAAACAUCUAAAGAUGCCUAAGCCUGCCUUUGUUACAAAUAUACUAGACUAGAUGCGAGUGAGGGGCACUUAUGUCUUUUGCAAACCAUCAAUGUAUUGUAGUCAUCCUGAAUGAAUCUAAAUUGGUGGAUUGAAUGAAUCUAUUCUGGUGGAUUGAGUGUCACUCCCACACAAAAUUAUUUGUUUGAAGCUGAAUUUUGUAACUAAUUACACAAUUGUAAUACAAAAAUAAUUUUCAAGGUGAUUGAUUGUACACGAAUAGUCGUUAACAUGGUGAUUGUAUAACUUAAAAUUGGGACUUAUUCCUUACUUAUUAGAGGGGUAGCACUAAAGAUAAGAAAAAGGAAAAGAGUUAUACUAUGCUUUUGUUUGUUUCAAUUGUGUUUAUUCCUUAAUUAUUAAACUUCACAAAGAACAAAACAUAAAACCAAAUCUAGCAUAAUGAAGAUUUUGAGAAACAUAAUCGUCCACAUUAGAGUAUCAUACUUUUUACCAACCAGUAUUCAUAGAAUACGUCAUAAAUAAAGUAUUUUCUUGAUAUAAAAGCAUUACAUGCAAUUCCAUAAAAGCCAUGGUAGUUGGUAGUUGAAGCUUUUAUUUAUGCCUAAGCGUUUGGCAAAAUAGUUUUUAGCUUCUAAAUGUAUUAAAUUAGUUAAAAACUAAAAGCUACUUGAAAUAGUUUUUGGAUUUGAAGGUUUUUGUUUAGCAUAAAAGCUAGAAACUUUUUUUGUUUUUUCUUAAAAGCUAAAAGCCAACAUCCUUUUAGUGAAUGAGAGGGAACAUAUGAUUCGGUUGGAAUGGAUAAAGGUGGCAUAGAUGCUUUCUUAGAAAAGGUGAAAUGAAUGACAGAAAAGCAAAGACAUGCGUGCGUACUCAGUUUAAUUCAUGAGUUUGUGACGAAUACAUUCUUUUCAUUGCAUUAAAUAGUCUGUAUAAGGCGUAUAUCAUAAAGACAGAAACAUAAGAUCAUAAUGGAGGAAGUUGAACACGAGCAUGAACUAAAGCUCAUUGAUAUGCAUCUACAAUAUGCAGAUCAACACCUUGAAGAAGAUGAUGAAGUUUUUUUUAUUUUCUGGCGGCAAAUUGGAACUCUAUGUCACAUAUGUAAAGAAGAAAUCAAUUUGCUCCAUAGGUACUACUACAGAUGUAUGGGAGAGAUGUGUACUUUCUCAGUUCACGAAUUCUGUUAUGACCUCCCAAGAAUUUUAGAACACCCAUUACACCCACAUCCCCUUAUCCUAACCGGCAAUCCUUGCGGUCAAAUUUUCGAAAAUAGAUGCAGAAUUUGUCAGACACAUCAUGAGAAUUCAGCCGUACAUUAUCAAUGUUUUUCUUGUUAUGAUUUCUUCGUUUAUGUAAGCUGUGCCCUGAAAAUAGAAAAAAACACCAUCCAUCAUCCUAGCCACCCUCACUUGCUCAUGUCUGCUAUUGCUAAGCACAUUUUGUGCGAGUGUAAUGCUUGUGGGAAAAGACAUGAGGGGGUGUUCUAUCAAUGCACCACUUGUGUUGGCUUCACCAUACACAAGGAUUGUGCUAAGCUACCAAGAAAUUUGCUCAUCCAAGAGAGAACAGAUGGUGCCUUUUAUCAUUUUCAUCCACUCACCCUUUCAUAUUCCUUCCCGGAAAAAGAUCAAAAAGCCAAACAUCAUCCUAGAUGCAGAGUAUGCACUAAUGGUUUUUAUGAUAUGGAGAAUCUUUGGAUUUACAAAUGUGAUGUCUGCAUGUAUUAUGCCCAUCUGGAUUGCGCAACAUCAAGAGGAGAGCCAUUCAUGUCUAUCUUCUCGCCUGCUGGUAAUUAAUGAAUCCCUUUAACCUUUAUAUCAUGAUUGUUUAACUGUUUAAUUAGCGAUUGAAUGAUGAGAUAUACUAAUACUAAUUAAUUAAUUUCCAAUUUAUCAGGCUCGGGCAAAUCAAUUAAAAAUUAUGAAGAUGUUGACCAUCCUCACCUUCUUCAUCUCCCAUUCCCUGAUGAAUCUUAUAGCCUACCAAAACACUUGUUUUUCAAAGAAAGUGGAACAUUCGUAAUUGAUAAGGUAAACUUACAACACAUAAGUCAUCCACACCCUCUAAUUCUAGUUGAUGGGCAAACCUCCUCCUCAAAGAUUAAGGAUUCUUUGUUACUAAUGUGUCAUAACCCAAUGAAAAAGACCCAAUUGCUAUGCAAUGGAUGUCUCAGACCAAUCACGUCCACCAUGCCUUUUUACAAAUGCCCUCACCAGAGUUGCAACAACUUUGCUCUCCAUGAGUGGUGUACUCGACUUCCUCAAAAAAUAGAAAACCACCCGGGUCACCCACAACACACCCUCCAUCUCAUGUAUUCACACGUCCUUCCUCACUUUUUCGGUGUGUUCCUUUGUGAUGUUUGUAAUGUACCUUGCAAUGGAUUUUCCUAUUGUUGUGUCGAAUGUGAAUACUAUGUUGAUGUUGGUUGUGGGCUUAUACCUCAACAAAUCACACAUAAAGCUCAUCCGGAUCACCUUCUUUCAAUAGUCCGAAAAUCUUUUUUUCAUAAAUCUUGUCAUAUAUGCCUCCUACCUAAUAAAUGGAGCAGUUUUAUUUUCAGUAUUAGAGGUUUUCGUCAAAAAGAUCCAGUUUUCUUCAGCUGCAACAUUUGUGAUGUAUAUAUACAUCCAGAAUGUGCUUUGUUAUUAUCCGAGAAAAUCAUGCACAAGUGUGACAAGCAUCUUAUGCACCUAAGUUACCUUCCGAUUGAGAAUCAUAAGAGCGAAUACUUUUGUGAAAUAUGUGAGGAGGAUUUGAAUCCUCAUGAAUCUUUCUAUCAUUGUCAUGAUUGUGUUCAAUCUAUACAUACUGCUUGUGCUCCGUUGAUACUUCAUUGCGAGACAAAUACAUAUACAUGGGAGCAAAGAAGCAUUUAUUAUUACGUGAAUAUUAAGUUUGGGGGGAAUUAUAACACUGAUGCUCACCCACAUCCUCUCUCAUUUUCUCAAGGUAUUAUGUCAGAUGGUGAAUGUAAAAUCUGUCGCAAGAAAUUACACUGCCAAAUGAUCUUUAAAUGUCAGGAGUGUGAGUUUGCACUAGAUUACAAGUGUUGUCGGAGUUUAUGAUUUCUCUCUUUGUAAUUGUGACUACUCUUUGUUACAUAUCCCCCCCUUAUUUUAUGUGUAAAUAAUACAAUAAAAACGUGGCUUUCGUGUGUGCAUGUUAACUCUUGCCAGCCUUUUGUUCAUAUAUAGGAAAUUAAGCAUAUAUUUAUAAUUAUGGAACUCGGUGACUAUUCAUAUAAUUUAUUGUGUAUGCGAAAACAUAAAUUGAAUUGGUAAAGGAAAUUGCAAUUCAAGCAGACAAGAAAAAUGAACGAAUCCAUGAAGAGUUUUUAGCUUCUGUUAUUACUUGAUGAAAGCGUACAACCGGAAAGAAAACAAAAAGAUUAUAUGCAAUGCUUCAAACACGUGUGAGAGUCCUCACCCCUCCAUCACUCAUUUGAAAUGCAUAUCAACCCAAUACCAACCACCUUGUAACAUGCAUCGCCCCCUAUCACACACUUUCAAUAUCCAAUUCUUGAUAUGUGACUAUUAGUGAAAUAUAUUUACAUGUAUAAAUCUUUUUAAUUAGAGAACAUAUANNNNNNNNNNNNNAUACUCAAAUAUCUAUGAGAAGGCAGAGAACUUUUACCAUUUUGUAGUGGCAAAUCUAGUAGAAAUAAACUCACUUUUACCUUUCUUUAGUGGUAAACCUAUUAGAGAUAAACUCAGUCUCACAGCUAUAAAAAAAAACAAAGGAAACAGAGCAUGGUUGUUGGAGCGGAACAAAACAUUUGUAGUUUUGAUUUUACUAAGAUAUCAUUUAUCCUUUUAGUGCAUUUUCCUAUCAAUUUAGUUAUAGUGCAAUUCCUUUCAAUUUAUUUUCUUUUGAAAGUAGGUAGUAGNNNNNNNNNNNNNNNNNNNNNNNNNNNNNNNNNNNNNNNNNNNNNNNNNNNNNNNNNNNNNNNNNNNNNNNNNNNNNNNNNNNNNNNNNNNNNNNNNNNNNNNNNNNNNNNNNNNNNNNNNNNNNNNNNNNNNNNNNNNNNNNNNNNNNNNNNNNNNNNNNNNNNNNNNNNNNNNNNNNNNNNNNNNNNNNNNNNNNNNNNNNNNNNNNNNNNNNNNNNNNNNNNNNNNNNNNNNNNNNNNNNNNNNNNNNNNNNNNNNNNNNNNNNNNNNNNNNNNNNNNNNNNNNNNNNNNNNNNNNNNNNNNNNNNNNNNNNNNNNNNNNNNNACUUAUACAAUUAAUCCAAUUCAACAAAAUUUUCACCCCCAUUAGCAAUUCAACCCAAACCAAAUAUUUAUUACAAAUAAAGAAUUAAAAUGAAAUAUGAAAUAUGAAAUAUAUCGAUAUUAUAUUCUAUUUAAAGAGAUUUUAUUUUUCAAAAUUUAGUAUUUUUUGUUAAUUUUAUUGAGAUAAUAUUUAAUGUCUAAGUUACAAAUCAAUAAAAAAUAGAUAUGACAUAUAAAAAGAGAGAGAGAGAGAAAUGGAGUGAGCAAGUGUGAGUUGGGGUUGUGGUGGUGGCCUAGUUCACCAUUAAUCAUUUAAUUUUCAUUUUCUUUAUUUAAAAAAUUGUUGAGCUGAACANNNNNNNNNNNNNNNNNNNNNNNNNNNNNNNNNNNNNNNNNNNNNNNNNNNNNNNNNNNNNNNNNNNNNNNNNNNNNNNNNNNNNNNNNNNNNNNNNNNNNNNNNNNNNNNNNNNNNNNNNNNNNNNNNNNNNNNNNNNNNNNNNNNNNNNNNNNNNNNNNNNNNNNNNNNNNNNNNNNNNNNNNNNNNNNNNNNNNNNNNNNNAACCGUGCCACACCGAUGUCAGAUACACUAAUACUCCCUUUAGGCAGGAAGCUCGAUAAAUAUAAACAAGGAUAUGUUGAGCCACAUAGGUGCACGAUGUUGACUUUGAUACCAUAUAAGAUAUAUGUGGAGUCCAUGAUUUACUCCCCAAAAGAACCCUUAUGGAGAGUGGGAAGAUUCUAACACACACACACACACACACACACACAUAUAUAUAUAUAUACACAUACACACAUAGACACACACACAUACACUAAUUAGACUGUGUCAUACCAACAUAGGAUCACCAACACUUUUCUUCUUCAUAGGUGUUUUCUCUCACACAAAACGAAUACAAAAACAAUUGCACAAGCUUUCAUUUACUAUCUACAAAUUACAAAAAUUUUCAUAGCUUUAGAUGUUGCUUGAAUAUAAAGCCCAUGAGUAUCGUAACAUACCAAAAUUUCAUAAAAAUUUAAAACUUUUUUAAACAUCCAAAAACCAUUAAUUAUUACAAAGUGUUUUAAAAAUAGUUCAAUAUCAGAGAAUCCCAGAAAUCUAACUCAUAAAAUGUGAGGAUGUGUGCGUUACACCUUCGUCUUCCCGCGAUCAUCUGAAGUACCUGAAAUGAAAUCCAUAACUUUAAGCUUGAAGGCUUAGUAAGUUACCCCCAAUAUACCGAUACAUAACAAACAGUUCACAUAAUAACAAUACAACAAUAACAGUAACAACAUGCAAUGAGUCCACAACUCUAUAGAUUGGAUUACCCCUAAGCCCAUAGUAUGAGUAUGGCUUGCCCUUCCCGGCCCUUAUCUCACAUCUGGCUUUCUCCCGAGCCCAUAUCAUAAGUCUAGCUUGCCCUCGGGCCCACAGCCUAUGCCUGGCUUGCUCCUUCAAUCAUUGGACUGAAAUAUAAAUAGUCAGCCCUCAGUACGAGUCUAGCAUGCUCGUCUCAACCCUCAACUUGUAUUUGGAAUGCAUAUGAGUCCUUAGUAUGAGUCUGACAUGCCCUCCCUGGCCCUCAGCUCAUAUCUGGCAUACUCCACGGUUUGUUGGCCACCGUAUGGAGCAGUGCAACCUCAACCCAACCCACAUAACAUGUCGACAUGUAACAAAUAAGUGCACAUACAGAUAAUCAAACAAUAUCACAAGUAGUCCUACAGAUCUACCAGACUAGCAUAUCAAACUAGUACGCAUAACUAUCUCAUACUCAGCAUAUCAAUAACUACUAGGAUAUCAGAUCCAAUGGGCCAGCCAUGGUGCCUUAGACCCCUUAGUAUAGUGAGGACAACUCACCUCACAAUGUCGAAAUGAACUGAAAAGAUCAAACUCCGGAAUCACAGCUAUGAACUCAACCACCUAUAACCACCAUAGGACCAAUUCUAUCAAGAUCCCAAAUUACCAAAAUACCCUCAGCAGUCAAACUUGGUCAACCAUGAUCAAAGUCAAAGUCAACACUCCAUUUUGACGCAACUCAUCGAGUGCAGCUACUGACUCGUCGAGUUCCUCCUGAACUCAGAAAACCGUGAAAACCCAAGUCAACUCGCGGAGUUGUCAAAAUAACUCGUCGAGUCCAUACAGUGUCCAGAAGAUCGGGAAAAACCCUAACCAACUCGUCGAGUUAUCUCACCAACUCGCCAAGUUCACUCAUAAUCCAGAAAUCAGGAAGACCCGACUCAACCCGUCGAGUUGGCUACACAACUUGUAACACCCGCAGAUCCGGGCUAGUCAAAUUAGAGGCAAUAAGUGUCGAAAAUGACUUCUCCACAAAAGAUUGUUUAGAAUAAAUAAUCUUAACCAAGUUUUUGAAUAUGUCUCAAGGGUUCCGUGCAUAUAAAGAACGCCGAAAUCUGAGUUAUAACGAAGAAGAUAUGACUCAUCGAAGUUUUACGGCAAAACCGACACAACACCGAGAAUCGUAAAAAGUGAAUUUAUGAAAAAAUAAUUUCUAGCCUUAGCAAUCUAAAUGAAAGUUGUAUUAUAUGUUAAACCGAUAGUGUGCAUAAAAAGAACGUCCAAAUCUGACUUCGUAUGAGGAAGUUAUGAUUUUUCUAAGAUUUAGCAUAACAGUAAACAACCUGGAAAUUCGAAUUUUAGAUCGGUCGAUUUUUAGCUAAAAUAAUCUAAACGAUAAAUGAAUAUAUUGUUAAUAGGAGUUAAACGAUAAAAAGACAGUCGAAAACGGAGCUCGUAUGCGAAAGAUAUGGACGAAGCUUAGUCUCUACUCUUCAAGCGCGGCGAAUUCGAUGCAGAUUUGUAAAUCUGAGAUAGAAUAAGAAUUGGCUGAUGAGAUCUAAAUGAAAGUUGUAGUACUUGUAAAUACCAACGCGUGGAUAUAAAGAACGUAAAAACAGAGCUCAUACGCAGAAGAUACAGACGAAGCUUAGAGACUACUCUACGAUAAAACCCCUAUACAUAAAGGGUGAGUCCUUCAUAUUUCUCACACCUUUCACCCUCUCUUUCUCUCUCUAAUUUCUCUCUCUAAGCCCCCUAACCCCCCUAAGCCUAGGUAAACCCCUAACACCCGAAGGAAGCCAUGAGACUUCUGGAGUCUCGAGAAAAAGGGUCUUUCGGUUCAGAAACGCUGCUCCAAGCGAAGCCUGGUUUUCGAGAGAUCCCGCUGUAAGUGAGCUACGCCUACGCUACUUUUAAUAUAGCUUUUAAUUAGUUAUAGUAACGUUAUUAGGACCUUAUUAUAAUUAUUUGGGCUAUUAUUAUGGUUUAUAUAAGUGUUGUUGUAAUAUCUUUUUAACCACUCGCGGUACGGGGAAUAUGUUGGAUUAGUGUCUAAGUCCAUAACUAUUUUGGUAUGUACUUGACCCGAUAAUGAGCAUGGUCCUUUUGGGUUGCCUUCACCAUAGCAAUAUGUAGGAUGAAUUAAGGAGAUAAAGGUUUAAUUAUGAUUUAUUAAUAUAUUAUGAGAAUAAUAUAUUAAAGGAGAAAUCAUAUUGUUUAAUUAAUAUUAGUCAAGAAUUAAUUAAGAAUUAUUUUUGUGGCUAAAAGAGAUUAAUUAAACUUAAGGGACUUAUUGUGUAAUUAUAAGAAAAUUACAUAGAUGGGCUAAUGGACUCCAUAGAAGUUGGAGUGGACUAAUUCUAUGGGGAAAUCCAUUAGAAAUCGUCAAAGGCUUCUAAAGAGGGAGUCCAUGGGCUGCUUAGGGCUUAAGCAGUCAGAUUAGGGUUUCCUAGUUGUAAACCCUAAUAGCCAGCCUAUAUAAGGAACCCUUAUGGCCCUAAAAAUGUGGUGAAUACUUCCUUUAGGGUUUCCAGUUGUUUUUGGUGCCUCCUCUCUCUUCUCUCUUCAUCCAAGUUCCUUAGUGGUGUUUGUGACUCCAUUAGAGGUGCAACACUUGAUACACUAAGCUUUCUGAAGCCAAGGAUUGAUUGUUAUUGCUAUAUAACAAUCAAAGGUAAGAUCUAAACCCUAAUUUCAGUUAUAGUUUAUUAGAUCUAGGGUUUAUGACUUUGGAUUAUCAAUUGCAUGUUCAUUAGACAAACUAGAUCCAAAGCUAUUAGGGUUUGCAUGUACACCAUAGGAUUGAUGUUUUGCUCAAAACCCAUCAGAAUCUGGUUUGGAGGGCCGCUUAGGUUGUUGUAUUCAGAAGUGCUAUAUGCCAACAUGAUCCUGCCCUCCGGUGUUUCAUGUCUGGCUCCCUGUCUGUACAUAGUGGGUGAAGAGUAUUUUUUAACGCUUAUAUAAUAGUAAUAAUAGCUAGACUAUUAAUUACUCUCGGUAAAACGUUAGACUAAACUCUAGUGGUAAUGGUACUAGGUUUUGUUGAAGGAAAUUGUUUUAAAGUAAAUGAAGUGUUUUCCGAGAACCGCGUCACCACCUUAUCAGGUGAGUGCAUAGUUACUUUCAUCUUACACAUAGAUACGAAGUAUUUUAUAUAAAUUAUGUACUAUGUGUGCAUAUUAUCUGAAUUCUUGUUGUUUAUGCUGGAUGAACGAUUGUAUACAUACUUCAAAUAAAUUAAACUGUAUAUGUAUUUUAUAUCUAUAAAAUAUGUUGGGUAAAACAUGGGUAGAUGAAAGAUGAGUCGGAUGAUGAGAUGAGAGGUGAUAUAGACCAUGAGAUAAGGGUGAGAGGUGAACAAUGAGAGAAGCCUUUUACCCAAAUGAUGGACCCGUCAUCUAGCAAAGUAUGGAUGACAACGACAGACUAUUCUAGACAGUCUAAUGGAACACUAGCAGGCUCGCAACCAGUAGGUGCUAUGAAAGAUGUGUUCACCCGGUGUACUCUAAACCUUGGCGACUAUGCAGACUUAGUGCCUAAACCUUGGCGAUCAUGCAGACUUGAUGCCUAAACCCUGGUGACUAUGUAGACUUAGUACCUAAACCAUGGCGACUAUGCGGACUUAGUGCUUGUUGUAUAAACCCUGGAGACUAUGCAGACUUAGUGCCUAAACCCGGUGACGAUGGACUUCGUGCCAAUUCUUAGGAUAAUCCUUAGGAAUAAAUGAACAAGGAAUAGCUGAUUUUUAGGGUAGAUCCUUAAGAGUAAAGAAGAUAAUAGGGAUGGGUAAUUGGGUUGAUUAAUUGUUUGAAGAUUAAACAUAAUAAUUAUAUUGUUAUGGGUUGAAAACCCUAUGUACUCACCAGGUUUCCCAACCUGACCCACUCAGUUUAUUUAUAUCACAGGUGUUGAUAUGAAGUCACAUUACACUGAGAGAUUAAGUAGAUAUAAAUCACUAGUGAUAAUGAAUGUAAGUUAUGUAUAUGUUUAUGUUUCUGUAUUGACGAUGACAUCCCAAAUGUUUUAAAAUGAAUAAAAAUACUUUUCUUCGGAAAUGCUUUGAUAAUGUAUUUAUCAUGUUUUACUGGGAACAAAUUCCGCAACAUUUUUAUUAAAAGAGGUACUCUGAUUUUUAUAAAGCAUAAACAAAAUCGGUCUUUUAUGGCCGUGAAAAUGGGGAUGUCACAGUUGGUAUCAAAGCCUUAGUUUAAUCGAACUAGGAAUAAGGACUUAUUUCUAGACUUAGACUUAGAAUGCUAAGCAAUGAUCGUGAGGAGUGUGUAUAAUAUAUUUUAGGUAGUACACCUGAAUAGACACAAGCACUAGCUUAUUUAGGGAAGAUGCCUAACAUGCUUUUAUGUGCUUAAUAAUUUGUGAUGCUUUAUGCUAUCGUUUGAUCGGAUCUAUGGUCUAUUGCCGACCGGAUCUGGAAAUUUUAUGUGUGCAGAUUUCUAAAUGUUUAAUUACGAUAUUAGAACCGACAUAUAAUUUUUCAAGGUAAUAAGGAUGAAUACGCGUCUAAACCUUCCUCUAUCUUUAUUCUCGUCUUGAUACACCAAACGACUGCUCUGGUGUGCAGAACAUCAUGGUGAAGACUCGAAGUGAAUUGAGUACAUGGAGGAACUGAGAAGGCUUACGAUAUUGAAUAGUUCCUAUCAGAAGAUAUCGUAAGAGUGAUAUCUUGCCUUUAGAACGCGUCUAAUAAAUAACACGUCUAGUACAGGAGAAGUACACUUUCAUUAGUAGAAAGAAAGAUUUUUUGUAUAAUCCAUGAAGUUAUCCCAUCGUCUGACAUUUCCAUCACCAACCGAGUUAAAGUAGAAUUGAUGAUUGAAGACACGCAUGGAAGAAGUACUAGUAGAGUCUAGGGAAAAUUCUAUGAUUGUUUGGACACAUUUGUAUGUGUUAAAAUUGUUUUUGUGAUAAUAACUUGGAGAACUGCGAGACAAUACUUGGGACGAGUAUGAGUAGGUGUGAAAGGUAGUAGAGGCCUAUACUACCGGAAGCACAUGACUCACGCUUGGAUCAGGGAAAGUCACAAGGUUACCAAUGCACUAGUAAUUGAUUAUGUUUUGUCCAUGCCUGUCGUUACCAUCGUUUCGGUAAUGACUAAGAAGAUGAUUGUUAAUCUGACCCUAGUGGUCAUAUCAAAUCAAGUCUGACUAAGAUGAUUAUGUUACGUGGUUCAAAGAACCAAGUUUGAUGUAGCAUCCGACAUAAGCCAGAAGAUUAAAGUGAAAGAUAAUCAAAGCGAUCAAUAGAAGUAUCGUGAUCAUUGUUAAAGAACCUGGUAGCUAGAAAUUCUACACAUUAAAAUGUGAUUAUAUCACAUUAGAACAUGAAGGAAAGUAUAUACCAUUAUGGAAUUUGACUCUAAAAGACCUGAGUCUGAACGUUGCAUCAUACGAUGAGAGGUAAUUAGAACGUGGCCCAUCGGUCUAUUAUGACAAUCAAAGGAAGGAACUUAUCUUAAGUUGUUAAGAAGUAGAAAGAGUCCCCAAUAAGGUCCGAGAUUGUGACAGGAAUGUCAUGAUUGAAAGCCUAAUACGAGACAGAGUGCGGGUGCAAGAUCAAGCACCGCCUGCAGUCAAGAAGUCAAAGAGUUAGAUACUCGUUCGGAGAAACAUAGAAGUCAUAGUUAUUACCUAGGAUGAAGAGAUAACAUAUGGAAUCAUUAUACAAUCUUGUUUCGUUGAUGAUUUCGGGACGUAAUCAUCCUAAGGGGGAGAUAAUUGUAACGCCCGCAGAUCCAGGCUAGUCAAUUUAGAGGCAAUAAGUGUCGAAAAUGACUUUUCGACAAAAGAUUAUUUAGAAUAAAUAAUCUUAACCAAUUUGUAGAAUAUGUCUCAAUGGUUCCGUACAUAUAAAGAACGCCGAAAUCCGAGUUAUAACGAAGAAGAUAUAACCCGUUGAAGUUUUACGGCAAAACCAACACGACACUGGGAAUCGUAAAAAGUGAAUUUACGAUAAAAUACUUUCUAGCCUUAUCAAUCUAAAAUAUAGUCGUAGUAUAUGUUAAACCGAGAGUGUGCAUAAAAAGAACGUCCAAAUCUGACUUCGUAUGAGGAAGUUAUGAUCUUAAGUCUUAAGGGCCAAAACCAAGCUCAAGAAGAAGUUUUAGGUAAGGAGAAGGCCAUAGCUUGACAAAGACUAGAACUUUGUGACUAUAAGGGGCUAGAGGAGUCCAGAUCUGAAGUUACAACUUGAAAUCAUGCCCAAAACCAGAAAUAUCUCAACAAUACACUAGAAAUGGCCCUAAUCCCAAGCAUGAAGAGAUCUAGCUAAAGAAGAGUCAAGUUAACGACUUGUUACCUUCAAAAUGAUGCUAAGAUGGAGUAGAAAUCGGAUCCACAACUUCUCCUUGCUCCAAUCUCCUUAGACUUCAAGCUCUUCUCACAAAAUCCACAUUCCAAGCUUAAUAACACACAAAAAUGGAGAGUAAAUACGAUUUAGGGUUUUCUGAGCUCAAGGGGGACGGUAAGGGAAGCAAAUGGAGGCUAAUGACGCUUUAAAUAGGGUGCAAAACCUGGAAAUUAGGGUUUCAUUUUCUAGCUCCAGCUCGUCGAGUUUUGCUUCUCAACUCGUCGAGUAGAGAAUUUCGUACACGUCGAUUUGAGGCCAUCAACUCGACGAGUUCCAAGUCAAAAUGUCCUUUUUAUAUAAAAUUCAUAUACCUGGAAGUCGGGGUGUUACAAAGUCGCGGUCCGAUUAUUAACUCAUUAUAGACCUCGUAGUUUGUUUUGUUACUGUAUAGAAUUGGAAUAUGAUUUAUACGAGAUUUUUUUCACUUAUACUAGUCGAAAGAGAUUGUAUAUAGUGGAAUAGUUUUUGACUCAUAUUGACAGGUGUCAUCACUAAAAUUAAGUCUUAAAUCACUUAAUUAACAACAUGACACGAUUGAUUAAGGUUUAAUAACUUACAAUUAAUAAGUUAUGUGUAUAAACCUUGCAUUUUUGCAUGAAAACACUAUGUUUAUGUGGGAGGAGUUUUCCCCACUGAUUAAGUGUCGGUUCCCAAAUUAAGUAAGAUAACACUUAAUUAAUACUAUGACACGAUCAUACAAAGUUUAUAAACUCAAAACCUAUGAGUUUUACAUAUAAACUAUAUAGUUGCUUGUACGAAAUUUCAAGAGUAAAAUUGGUUAUUUUAUGUUUUCACAAUGUGUGACGUGUCUUUAUUUUAUAAAAUUUGUUAUUCAAAUCCUUAUAAAAACGCAUUUUUUUGUCACGAGAACCGUAAAGUUGGAUAUAAAUUUGACUCACUUAUAUAUUUAUCAAAUUUUGUACUUUUGUAUUUGAACAAACAAUAUUUCUAAAUGAGUCCAAAUACAUUUUUAUAACUCAUUUAUUUUCAUACUUUUGAUAGAAAAAUACGUAUUUAUAAAAGCUGGUCAACCAGAUAAAUUUUAUACAAUACUUUUGGUUAUAAAAGUACUUUGUGUCAAAACAUGUAGAACUCACCAACAAUUUUGUUGAUGUAUCUUAAUGCAUGUAUUCUCAGGUUUAUUAGUAGGUUGGAAGAGGUUGCAUAGAAGACUUUCCGUUAUUUUACUAUACUUUUGUAAACAUCAAAUUGUUAGGCGUGUGUUGAGAUUUAGCAAUAGCCUUUGUCAAUGUAAAUUCUAUUUCGGUAACAAUAAAAUAUUAUAUUUGUAUUGUUCAAUGUCUGGGGUGAGACAUUCAACCCAUUGCCACACCAGUUCUUCAUCAACUUUUAUUUUUAUACUCUCUUCCAUAUUUUUCUACCCACAACCCACAACACAUGAAAAUGAUAUAUUUUCCAUCCCACUCAAUUAUAUGUGUGUGUCUAUAUAUAUAUAUAGAUAUAUAUAUAUAUAUAUAUAUAUAUAUAUAUAUNUAUAUAUAUAUAUAUAGAGAGAGAGUGUGGGGGGGGAGGGGGUUGAAGAACUCGCUUAAAGCACCAAGAACCACCAAGGGGCAUAUUGAUUUUCUUGGAGGUACCUCCAGCAUCAACAACACACUCACGAAAAACCCCAACCACUCGUGCAUCCUUAGGUUACAUUUCUUGAUAUCACAAAUUUGAAGCAAAUAUUACAUAAGAAAGAUAAAAAAAAAAUAGUAUUAAAAAAAAACUCAAAAUCUCAAUCUCAUGGAAUCAAGCUACAUUUCCAAAACCUUACACAACUAGUAAACGAAUUGAUGUUAUUAGAUAUACAUUUAUUAGAGUUGUUUAGGCCAAGGAAUUUACAUAAUUUCCAUGGACAUUGGAGGGUUGAGGGGGGUGGGGGAGUUGGAAUAUGAUAACACUCAUCUUGGGAGAGAAAAGGGAGAUUGUGGAAGUACAUGUGAGGUUGAAUGAAAUUUAGUUGGCGAUUCAUGUAAUUUUCCGUUCUUCAUUUUUCUUGAAUAAUGGGCUUUACUAAAAACAGUAAAUUACAUGAAUCGUCAUUCGUGCAAGUUCCAAAAGACACGUUAGGUCUUAUUUUCAAAAAUAACUCGGACCGUCCCUUGUUAGGUUAAACGUUGUAAGCUUCAUCCGACGUUAGUUUAAAUAUGCAUGCUUCAUCCCCUGCGAGCCAUGAAAUGACUAUAAUACCCUUUUCAAUUUUAUUUUUCAUUUACUUUUGACAUUUCUAAUUAUUUUUAAUUAUUAAAAAACAUUUCAAUUAAGUUGCGGAUCCAUUUAACUUUAAGCCUAGUGUGUGUACACACACACACACACACACACAUAUAUAUAUAUAUAUAUAUAUNNNNNNNNNNNNNNNNNNNNNNNNNNNNNNNNNNNNNNNNNNNNNNNNNNNNNNNNNNNNNUGGAGUACUAAAAUCAAAGAUGAUGCAAGUCGUUGUUGGUGGAGAGGAAAUGUAAUAAAGAAGAAGAGGGGGAGGGGGGGUGUUUCUUAUGAAGGAUGCUUAUGGUUUAGGGCCUAUUUCAUUAUUAAAAACAAUAAAUAAAUAUUUUGAAAAUAAAAAUCAAUAGAUAAUUAAUAAAUAACAAAUAAAUACAAAAUAAAUGAAAACGACAAUAUGGUUAAUCAUGUCUAUUAUGGACAGAAUGUGCACGUUUUAAACAAACAGAUGAUAGUCCGAAUAAUUUUUAAAGAUAAUGAUUAAAUAUUUUUUUGAAAUUUGAACGAAGGAUGAUUAAUGUAAUUUACUAUGUUAAAAAUCAUCCCUAUAAAUCCUAGUUAACCAUUAAAAAUAAUGAUAAAAGACAUAAUGCUUAUCCUCUUUAUCUUGUUUUAGGUUUGUGUAUAUCUACACACUUCUAGUGAUUCAGGUGGGUGAUAUGAUGAUCUUUAAGAACAUAGAUUGGUAUAUACAUUAUUACUGAAAAUGAUUCAACAAGAACAAAGGAAACAGAGCAUUAUAACUUUCCCAAUAAACAAAGGCGUUAAUGACCCGAAUACUCAAUGAAAUGCGACCCAUUUAAGCCAGCCGCACCCUUUGGAGCCGAAAUAUAGACGUUAAAUUCGAUCAUCGAUGUAAUGUCAAACUAUGGAAACUAGGGUUUAUGAUUUCUGUUUAGGGUUUUGAUGUUUCAGCUAACAGC
RNAcentral lists this long non-coding RNA (16614 nucleotides) under Lactuca sativa (garden lettuce). RNAcentral describes it as "long non-coding RNA (LSAT_LNC008295)". Lineage: Eukaryota; Viridiplantae; Streptophyta; Magnoliopsida; Asterales; Asteraceae. The record is from RNAcentral.